Molecule: ribosomal RNA, 585 nt
Filed under: uncultured bacterium
Lineage: Bacteria
Description: bacterial SSU rRNA
Rfam family: Bacterial small subunit ribosomal RNA
Source: RNAcentral
CCUACGGGAGGCAGCAGUGGGGAAUUUUGGACAAUGGGCGAAAGCCUGAUCCAGCAAUGCCGCGUGAGUGAAGAAGGCCUUCGGGUUGUAAAGCUCUUUUGUCAGGGAAGAAACGGUGGGAGCUAAUAUCUCUUGCUAAUGACGGUACCUGAAGAAUAAGCACCGGCUAACUACGUGCCAGCAGCCGCGGUAAUACGUAGGGUGCAAGCGUUAAUCGGAAUUACUGGGCGUAAAGCGUGCGCAGGCGGUUUUGUAAGUCUGAUGUGAAAUCCCCGGGCUCAACCUGGGAAUUGCAUUGGAGACUGCAAGGCUAGAAUCUGGCAGAGGGGGGUAGAAUUCCACGUGUAGCAGUGAAAUGCGUAGAUAUGUGGAGGAACACCGAUGGCGAAGGCAGCCCCCUGGGUCAAGAUUGACGCUCAUGCACGAAAGCGUGGGGAGCAAACAGGAUUAGAUACCCUGGUAGUCCACGCCCUAAACGAUGUCUACUAGUUGUCGGGUCUUAAUUGACUUGGUAACGCAGCUAACGCGUGAAGUAGACCGCCUGGGGAGUACGGUGCAAGAUUAAAACGUUAAAUGAAUUGACGG